UGGGGAAUAUUGCACAAUGGGCGAAAGCCUGAUGCAGCGACGCCGCGUGAGGGAUGACGGCCUUCGGGUUGUAAACCUCUUUCAGCAGGGACGAAGCGCAAGUGACGGUACCUGCAGAAGAAGCACCGGCUAACUCCGUGC
This 141-nucleotide ribosomal RNA is filed under the name uncultured bacterium. RNAcentral describes it as "partial 16S ribosomal RNA". It matches the Rfam family "Bacterial small subunit ribosomal RNA", at positions 355 to 508 of the family's 1533-position model. The record is from RNAcentral.